RNAcentral lists this ribosomal RNA (253 nucleotides) under uncultured bacterium. Its description in RNAcentral is "partial 16S ribosomal RNA". It matches the Rfam family "Bacterial small subunit ribosomal RNA", at positions 524 to 776 of the family's 1533-position model. The record is from RNAcentral.
UGCGUAGGGGGCAAGCGUUGUCCGGAAUCAUUGGGCGUAAAGAGCGCGUAGGCGGUCCGGUAAGUCCGCUGUGAAAGUCAAGGGCUCAACCCUUGAAUGCCGGUGGAUACUGUCGGGCUAGAGUCCGGAAGAGGCGAGUGGAAUUCCUGGUGUAGCGGUGAAAUGCGCAGAUAUCAGGAGGAACACCAAUGGCGAAGGCAGCUCGCUGGGACGGUACUGACGCUGAGGCGCGAAAGCGUGGGGAGCAAACAGG